CUUCGGGGUGUAAACUACUGUCAGGGGUAAGAAAGUUCUGAUCUACCCCAGAGGAAGGGACGGCUACUCUGUGCCAGCAGCCGCGGUAAGACAGAGGUCCCGAGCGUUAGGCGGAAUCACUGGGCUUAAAGCGUGUGUAGGCGGAUUUGUAAGUACCUUGUGAAAUCCCACGGCUCAACCGUGGAACUGCUUGGUAUACUGCUUAUCUUGGGCCACUUAGGGGUUACCGGAACAAACGGUGGAGCGGUGAAAUGCGUAGAUAUCGUUUGGAACGCCAAUGGUGAAAACAGGUAACUGGGAGUGUGCCGACGCUGAGACACGAAAGCCAGGGGAGCGAACGGGAUUAGAUACCCCGGUAGUCCUGGCUGUAAACGAUGUCGACUAGAUUGUGGCGGCUCUGACGCCGUCACGGUCGAAGCAAAAGUGCUAAGUCGACCGCCUGGGAAGUACGGUCGCAAGGCUAAAACUCAAAGGAAUUGACGGGGGCUCACACAAGCGGUGGAG
RNAcentral lists this ribosomal RNA (504 nucleotides) under uncultured Planctomycetota bacterium. RNAcentral describes it as "bacterial SSU rRNA". It matches the Rfam family "Bacterial small subunit ribosomal RNA", at positions 416 to 937 of the family's 1533-position model. The record is from RNAcentral. Lineage: Bacteria; Pseudomonadati; Planctomycetota.